AGCUCCAAUAGCGUAUAUUAAAGUUGUUGCGGUUAAAAAGCUCGUAGUUGGAUUUCUGCUGAGGACAACCGGUCCGCCCUCUGGGUGAGAAUCUGGCUUAGCCUUGGCAUCUUCUUGGAGAACGUAGCUGCACUUGACUGUGUGGUGCGGUAUCCAGGACUUUUACUUUGAGGAAAUUAGAGUGUUUCAAGCAGGCACACGCCUUGAAUACAUUAGCAUGGAAUAAUAAGAUAGGACCUUGGUUCUAUUUUGUUGGUUUCUAGAGCUGAGGUAAUGAUUAAUAGGGAUAGUUGGGGGCAUUCGUAUUUAACUGUCAGAGGUGAAAUUCUUGGAUUUGUUAAAGACGGACUGCUGCGAAAGCAUUUGCCAAGGAUGUUUUCAUUGAUCAAGAACGAAAGUA
RNAcentral lists this ribosomal RNA (400 nucleotides) under phytoplankton environmental sample. RNAcentral's name for it is "partial small subunit ribosomal RNA". It matches the Rfam family "Eukaryotic small subunit ribosomal RNA", at positions 587 to 991 of the family's 1831-position model. The record is from RNAcentral.